AAAGUACUCCCUCCGUCCCAAAAUUCUUGUCUUAGAUUUGUCUAGAUACGGAUGUAUCAAGUCACAUUUUAGUAUUAGAUACAUCCGUAUCUAGUAAAAUCUAAGACAAGAAAUUUGGGACAGAGGGAGUAGUUG
Triticum aestivum (bread wheat) is the source of this 135-nucleotide non-coding RNA. NCBI's taxonomy places the organism in Eukaryota, Viridiplantae, Streptophyta, Magnoliopsida, Poales, Poaceae. The record is from Rfam.